ACUCACUGUGCCAGAGUCCGGCCUAAUGGGCGUACCGAGAGUAGGUACGAGCGUGAGUACGAGGGUUCGAAUCCCUCCAGUGAGUA
Molecule: transfer RNA, 86 nt
Filed under: Ktedonospora formicarum
Lineage: Bacteria; Bacillati; Chloroflexota; Ktedonobacteria; Ktedonobacterales; Ktedonobacteraceae
Description: tRNA-Leu
Source: RNAcentral